UUCCCUGUGCACGGGCUCUUUGUAAAUGGAAAGAGGAAUGUGCAAAAGAAAACGUUGCCUUCAUCCCUGGGAACCAGCUGUGCCCAAGGCUCCCAGACAGUGAGAGGCGAGUCUUUAAAUCUACUGCUUCACUUGGAGUCAGAGCCAUGUUUACUACUCUGGGAAAUAUGAGCCCUGUCUGCUUCCUGUUCUCCUUGAAGACCAACCAAUACAUAGUGAUGGAGUCUGCAAACGGAGUGACCUCGUCUACCACAUCCAACAAGUGGGCGGUUGGAGAAGACUCGUGCUGGUUUUCACACGACCAGAGCAGCCGCUUUCUGAUGCUUUCAGCCAUGAGCUCUAAUGAAAACAACCAGGAAUGCCUUCUACUGGAUUA
Molecule: long non-coding RNA, 376 nt
Filed under: Mus musculus (house mouse)
Lineage: Eukaryota; Metazoa; Chordata; Mammalia; Rodentia; Muridae
Description: predicted gene, 47157
Source: RNAcentral